RNAcentral lists this ribosomal RNA (403 nucleotides) under Fusobacteriota bacterium. RNAcentral describes it as "Fusobacteria bacterium partial 16S ribosomal RNA". It matches the Rfam family "Bacterial small subunit ribosomal RNA", at positions 355 to 776 of the family's 1533-position model. Lineage: Bacteria; Fusobacteriati; Fusobacteriota. The record is from RNAcentral.
UGGGGAAUAUUGCACAAUGGAGGGAACUCUGAUGCAGCGACGCCGCGUGAACGAAGAAGGCUUUCGAGUCGUAAAGUUCUUUUAUAUGGGAAGAUAAUGACGGUACCAUAAGAAAAAGCCCCGGCUAACUACGUGCCAGCAGCCGCGGUAAUACGUAGGGGGCUAGCGUUGUCCGGAAUCACUGGGCGUAAAGGGUUCGCAGGUGGAAAUGCAAGUCAGGUGUAAAAGGCAGUAGCUUAACUACUGUAAGCAUUUGAAACUGCAUAUCUUGAGAAGAGUAGAGGUAAGUGGAAUUUUUAGUGUAGCGGUGAAAUGCGUAGAUAUUAAAAAGAAUACCGGUGGCGAAGGCGACUUACUGGGCUCAUUCUGACGCUGAGGAACGAAAGCGUGGGUAGCAAACAUG